UCCUUCUUAAAGCUGACACUAUAAAUAUCCCUGAGCUCAUCCAUGACGUCAACACCAAGUGCACCGACCACACCAACACCGACCACAAAGACCGAUAAUCUAUAGUUUCCUAAUCAUCACCAAAUUGCCCCAAUAAACCGGCAAGCCAUAUAACCGACUGGCGAUCAAACCAUUGGAUUCACCAAAAACACCGACAAGACCACUAUAUCCAACAUUGCCACCAAGACACAUACCACAAAGAAAGAGGAUGAGGAAGGAAUAAACAAAAUGAAAAGAUCACCUGUUUCCUAGCAUUACGCCGGCGAACUAGAAACAACAUGAACAUCAAAAGCACCACCAUCUCCAAACUCCAAAACGGAGCCCUACCGCCAACAUCCAGUAACCCUCUAGAGAUGUAGAUCAAAAAACGUAGGAGAACCGAGGAAGAAAGAAUAAGCAGAGGGAUGACACACCACCAAAUUAAACAGAUAAGAACCCCUUCAGCAAGAACAAUCCGCGAUCUAGAAAAACAACCUAGAGAAGACAUGCGAAAGAUCAAGGAUUAAACACAAGAAAUGGAGCAACACCUUUAUACAAGAUGCCAAUCUACCCACUGACACCAAGAACGCCAAAUCCCCCAAAGAAACCACCAGAUCACCACCAAAAUCAGUCAAAUCAGACCCACACAACAACCCGGGACCACCACCAGAACCAAAUCCACAAACUGAUUCAGAAAGAUCACAACCAACCUCAAUGAAUCGGCCAAACAAAAACAAGACGAGUAACGAGGAAAGAACAAUACAAGAAAAACCAGAGCAACAAACAAAGAACACGGAGCAAAAGAACUCCAACCAAACACCUCCAACCAAAGGAUAAACUCUUAGGACAAGAGAGCUCCUAUGAAAGGAGAACUUAAAGCUCUAGGAUUCAGUGCAAGCAAACACCCCACUCGGCACUCAUGUCUCUCUCUCUCUCUCUCUCUACAUUCACUUUAUAUUCCACAGUACGCCUUUCUUUCUCUCUACCAUCACUCCUUCCUCAUACUCCACAGGAUACCUCCCUCUCUCCAAUCACUCUUCCCCCAAUCUUAACAGAUUGUCCAGGUAAGGAGACAAUGUUUUUGGAUGCUCAUCAUCCUUAGAGGCUCAUGAACCAUUUGAAGCAUUUUUGUAUAAGGACAUGCACUUGUUUAGCAUGCUUUACUUUUGGAUGAUAUAUUUUGUAUGCCAUGGAUGUAUGGUAUUUUAGAAGCUAAGAUGACUUCCUUCUUGUACAUUUUGAAGUACAUUUUGAAGUGUUCAUUUUGCAUGUAUGACAUGAGGCCAAGGGCCAUUAACUCGAAAGGUUGCAAGUAUGCUUUCUUUAAAACUAAAGUAUUGCUAUUGUAGCUUAUUUAUGAGAAUUUGAGGCUUAGUAUACCAAAAUUUGUAAAUGUAUUGUAAUAAGGCCAUAAGCCAUUGUAGCA
Molecule: long non-coding RNA, 1444 nt
Organism: Cornus florida
Lineage: Eukaryota; Viridiplantae; Streptophyta; Magnoliopsida; Cornales; Cornaceae
Exons: 2
Source: RefSeq, a predicted model, not a curated record